UACGGAGGGUGCGAGCGUUGUCCGGAAUCACUGGGCGUAAAGGGCGCGUAGGCGGCGCGGCUAGUCGGCGGUGAAAGCCCGGAGCUCAACUCCGGGUCGGCCGUCGAUACUUCCGGGCUUGAGCACUGUAGAGGCAGAUGGAAUUCCGGGUGUAGCGGUGGAAUGCGUAGAGAUCCGGAAGAACACCGGUGGCGAAGGCGGUUCUCUGGGCCUGUACUGACGCUGAGGAGCGAAAGCGUGGGGAGCGAACAGG
Molecule: ribosomal RNA, 253 nt
Filed under: uncultured bacterium
Lineage: Bacteria
Description: partial 16S ribosomal RNA
Rfam family: Bacterial small subunit ribosomal RNA
Source: RNAcentral